RNAcentral lists this ribosomal RNA (245 nucleotides) under uncultured Eubacteriales bacterium. RNAcentral describes it as "uncultured Clostridiales bacterium partial 16S ribosomal RNA". It matches the Rfam family "Bacterial small subunit ribosomal RNA", at positions 524 to 768 of the family's 1533-position model. The record is from RNAcentral. Lineage: Bacteria; Bacillati; Bacillota; Clostridia; Eubacteriales.
UACGUAGGUGGCAAGCGUUGUCCGGAAUUACUGGGUGUAAAGGGUGCGUAGGCGGGUAUGCAAGUCAGAUGUGAAAUACCGGGGCUCAACCCCGGGGCUGCAUUUGAAACUGUAUAUCUUGAGUGCAGGAGAGGAAAGCGGAAUUCCUAGUGUAGCGGUGAAAUGCGUAGAGAUUAGGAGGAACACCAGUGGCGAAGGCGGCUUUCUGGACUGUAACUGACGCUGAGGCACGAAAGCGUGGGGAG